Molecule: transfer RNA, 74 nt
Filed under: bacterium
Lineage: Bacteria
Description: tRNA-Glu
Rfam family: tRNA
About the family: Transfer RNA (tRNA) molecules are approximately 80 nucleotides in length. Their secondary structure includes four short double-helical elements and three loops (D, anti-codon, and T loops).
Source: RNAcentral
GGCCCCGUCGUCUAGCGGUCUAGGAUAUUUGGUUCUCAUCCAAAAGAUCAUGGGUUCGAAUCCCAUCGGGGUCA